Corticium candelabrum is the source of this 1077-nucleotide long non-coding RNA. RefSeq lists it as uncharacterized. NCBI's taxonomy places the organism in Eukaryota, Metazoa, Porifera, Homoscleromorpha, Homosclerophorida, Plakinidae. The transcript is spliced from 3 exons. The record is from RefSeq and is a predicted model, not a curated record.
CUAUUUAUUCAAUAAUUUAUUUAUUUAUUUAUUUAUUAAUAUUUAUUUUUUAUUAUGAACUUUUAGUUAUUGCCUUAUGUAUUUAUUUAUUUAUUUUGUCUCGCUAUAUAUCUUUUAUUUAUGGCUACUCUGGAGAUUAUUUGCAAAUUCAAACAGAAUGUAAUCUUUCAUGUUACCAGAAGAUCUAUUUAUGUAAACGAUUUAUGUUGACUGUGACUAGUGGAGACCCAGUACUGUGGUCAGACAUCUUAAUUAAUACUAUCUUUUCUAAUGUUGUUGUUAAUCAGUAGAGUUAUAAUUAUGUGUCAAUAUUUACAUCAACUAAUAUAUUUCCUUAGAGUCAUCCACGUUCUUGGCCAUUCCGCAGACCUGUAGAUAGAGAAGAAGUUCCAGACUACUAUGACAUCAUACGAUUUCCAAUGGAUUUGCAAACCAUUGGACAACGAAUAAGGUCUGGCUACUAUGUGAGUCGAAAACUAUUUGUAGCAGAUGUGACACGGAUGUUAAACAACUGCAUGACAUACAAUGAUUCAGAUACUGACUACUAUCAGUGUGCAGUAGCUUUGGAGAAGUUCUUUGCAUCAAAGAUAUGUAACUGUUAUAGUGGAUAGGACAUUUCUCAUCCAACACAAGCUGAGUCUACAGAGGACAACUGCAGAAGCAUCUAUAGAUAAAGAUACCAAGAAGUUACGGCAUUCAAAUACAUCAAACUGGAAAUAUAAAAGGGGACUCUAGAGACUUCAGUGAUUGCAACCAUACUGACUUGUCUUCAGACAAAGUUAGUGUAUGUAGCAGCCAGAGGAAUGCAUAUAUAACAAAAUACUUUGGUAUAGGUCAAGAAUAGAUCUAAUAUUGCAAUUCCAUACAUUUUCUAGGAUAGAAAAUUGUGUGACACUCUACAUAGAAUGUACACUUGCAAGCUGACCCUGGUCUAUUGCAAGACUUGCUACUGGUAGGUUUAUUAUGUUGUGUACCGUACAGUAUUGCUUGCUGUAAACUGACAAUGUCCUUGAAUGCGUUUGUACGUUACUAUGUUUAUGCCUACUUUGAGUACUACCAGCUAAUACAUUUGAUAUA